Molecule: microRNA precursor, 90 nt
Filed under: Lytechinus variegatus (green sea urchin)
Lineage: Eukaryota; Metazoa; Echinodermata; Echinoidea; Temnopleuroida; Toxopneustidae
Description: microRNA lva-mir-2003 precursor
Rfam family: mir-2003 microRNA precursor family
Source: miRBase by way of RNAcentral
GCUGGUUGGCCUAAACCCGUAAGGUCUUAACUUGUGCUGGAGUUACGAGUACACAGGUUAUGCCCUUUGGGUAGUAGGCCGGACAGAUUA